This is a long non-coding RNA of Oncorhynchus gorbuscha (pink salmon), 654 nucleotides long. RefSeq lists it as uncharacterized. Lineage: Eukaryota; Metazoa; Chordata; Actinopteri; Salmoniformes; Salmonidae. The record is from RefSeq and is a predicted model, not a curated record. The transcript has 3 exons.
AGUUUACUGCUUAGCGAUUUGGGCGUAUGCCUCGUAGCUCCGGUAUCAAACAUAACAUCCCUACCGAAAAGUUGACAAAACAAAAAGGAGCAAGCAGGUUGAUUUUCUCUUUCAUUUUGUGCCCACGAAGAGAAGGUCUGCUGGACGGAGAAAGAGGGUCUGUGGGUGAACGUUGUCGGGAAAGAAGAGAAGGAAGAGGAGGAUGUCACAAUACAAAAACAAGUAGAGGAUGAGGCUGUUACAGUGAAAUAAGAAGAGGCAGACGCGUUCAGAGUGAAAGAGGAAGUUUCAGUAAAAGAAGAUGAGGAAACUGGAUUUCUGGGCCCGGUUUCCCAAAGGCAUGUUAAAGCAUCCAAUGGUUCUAACGAUGAACGGGCCCUGAUUAACACUAGAGAGAGACGGGACUAUCGUUGAUCCUCUGGGGAACCUCAACAACAUCAUGAUGCUGAGGAGGCAGAGAAGUCUCUCCAGAUCAGAACUCCUCAAGAAGCACCAGCAUAGACCCAUAGGGAAGAAAUCUAACUGCUGCUCUUCUCUGUGGGAAGAGAUUCAACUCUAAAGUAGACCUUAAAUUACAUCAAGGAAUUCACACAGGAGAGAAAUCGUAUAGCUGUGAUCAAUGUGGGAAGAGUUAUACUCAGCUAAUCAGCCUGA